AGGACGAACGCUGGCGGCGUGCUUAACACAUGCAAGUCGAGCGGAAAGGCCCUUCGGGGUACUCGAGCGGCGAACGGGUGAGUAACACGUGAGUAAUCUGCCCUUAGCUCUGGGAUAGCUCCGGGAAACCGGGAUUAAUACCAGAUACAACCACUUUAGACAUCUGUUGUGGUGGAAAGAAUUUUGGCUAAGGAUGAGCUCGCGGCCUACCAGCUUGUUGGUGGGGUAAUGGCCUACCAAGGCGACGACGGGUAGCCGGCCUGAGAGGGCGACCGGCCACACUGGGACUGAGACACGGCCCAGACUCCUACGGGAGGCAGCAGUGGGGAAUAUUGCGCAAUGGGCGAAAGCCUGACGCAGCGACGCCGCGUGGGGGAUGAAGGCCUUCGGGUUGUAAACCCCUUUCAGCAGGGACGAAGCGAAGUGACGGUACCUGCAGAAGAAGCGCCGGCUAACUACGCGCCAGCAGCCGC
This 473-nucleotide ribosomal RNA is filed under the name uncultured bacterium. RNAcentral describes it as "SSU rRNA". It matches the Rfam family "Bacterial small subunit ribosomal RNA", at positions 26 to 518 of the family's 1533-position model. The record is from RNAcentral.